UACAGAGGUCUCAAGCGUUGUUCGGAUUCAUUGGGCGUAAAGGGUGCGUAGGUGGCGCUGUAAGUCGGGUGUGAAAUUUCGGAGCUUAACUCCGAAACUGCAUUCGAUACUGCGGUGCUUGAGGACUGGAGAGGAGACUGGAAUUCAUGGUGUAGCGGUGAAAUGCGUAGAUAUCUGGAGGAACACCGGUGGCGAAGGCGGCAUCCUGGACCAACACUGACGCUGAGUGAGCGAAAGCCAGGGGAGCAAACGGG
Molecule: ribosomal RNA, 254 nt
Filed under: uncultured bacterium
Lineage: Bacteria
Description: partial 16S ribosomal RNA
Rfam family: Bacterial small subunit ribosomal RNA
Source: RNAcentral